GGUUAAGCGACUAAGCGUACACGGUGGAUGCCCUGGCAGUCAGAGGCGAUGAAGGACGUGCUAAUCUGCGAUAAGCGUCGGUAAGGUGAUAUGAACCGUUAUAACCGGCGAUUUCCGAAUGGGGAAACCCAGUGUGAUUCGACACACUAUCAUUAACUGAAUCCAUAGGUUAAUGAGGCGAACCGGGGAACUGAAACAUCUAAGUACCCCGAGGAAAAGAAAUCAACCGAGAUUCCCCAGUAGCGGCGAGCGAACGGGGAGCAGCCCAGAGCCUGAAUCAGUGUGUGUGUUAGUGGAAGCGUCUGGAAAGGCGCGCGAUACAGGGUGACAGCCCCGUACACAAAAAUGCACAUACUGUGAGCUCGAUGAGUAGGGCGGGACACGUGGUAUCCUGUCUGAAUAUGGGGGACCAUCCUCCAAGGCUAAAUACUCCUGACUGACCGAUAGUGAACCAGUACCGUGAGGGAAAGGCGAAAAGAACCCCGGCGAGGGAGUGAAAAAGAACCUGAAACCGUGUACGUACAAGCAGUGGGAGCCUCUUUAUGGGGUGACUGCGUACCUUUGUAUAAUGGGUCAGCGACUUAUAUUCUGUAGCAAGGUUAACCGAAUAGGGGAGCCGAAGGGAAACCGAGUCUUAACUGGGCGUUAAGUUGCAGGGUAUAGACCCGAAACCCGGUGAUCUAGCCAUGGGCAGGUUGAAGGUUGGGUAACACUAACUGGAGGACCGAACCGACUAAUGUUGAAAAAUUAGCGGAUGACUUGUGGCUGGGGGUGAAAGGCCAAUCAAACCGGGAGAUAGCUGGUUCUCCCGAAAGCUAUUUAGGUAGCGCCUCGUGAAUUCAUCUCCGGGGUAGAGCACUGUUUCGGCAAGGGGUCAUCCCGACUUACCAACCCGAUGCAAACUGCGAAUACCGGAGAAUGUUAUCACGGGAGACACACGGCGGGUGCUAACGUCCGUCGUGAAGAGGGAAACAACCCAGACCGCCAGCUAAGGUCCCAAAGUCAUGGUUAAGUGGGAAACGAUGUGGGAAGGCCCAGACAGCCAGGAUGUUGGCUUAGAAGCAGCCAUCAUUUAAAGAAAGCGUAAUAGCUCACUGGUCGAGUCGGCCUGCGCGGAAGAUGUAACGGGGCUAAACCAUGCACCGAAGCUGCGGCAGCGACACUAUGUGUUGUUGGGUAGGGGAGCGUUCUGUAAGCCUGUGAAGGUGUGCUGUGAGGUAUGCUGGAGGUAUCAGAAGUGCGAAUGCUGACAUAAGUAACGAUAAAGCGGGUGAAAAGCCCGCUCGCCGGAAGACCAAGGGUUCCUGUCCAACGUUAAUCGGGGCAGGGUGAGUCGACCCCUAAGGCGAGGCCGAAAGGCGUAGUCGAUGGGAAACAGGUUAAUAUUCCUGUACUUGGUGUUACUGCGAAGGGGGACGGAGAAGGCUAUGUUGGCCGGGCGACGGUUGUCCCGGUUUAAGCGUGUAGGCUGGUUUUCCAGGCAAAUCCGGAAAAUCAAGGCUGAGGCGUGAUGACGAGGCACUACGGUGCUGAAGCAACAAAUGCCCUGCUUCCAGGAAAAGCCUCUAAGCAUCAGGUAACAUCAAAUCGUACCCCAAACCGACACAGGUGGUCAGGUAGAGAAUACCAAGGCGCUUGAGAGAACUCGGGUGAAGGAACUAGGCAAAAUGGUGCCGUAACUUCGGGAGAAGGCACGCUGAUAUGUAGGUGAAGUCCCUUGCGGAUGGAGCUGAAAUCAGUCGAAGAUACCAGCUGGCUGCAACUGUUUAUUAAAAACACAGCACUGUGCAAACACGAAAGUGGACGUAUACGGUGUGACGCCUGCCCGGUGCCGGAAGGUUAAUUGAUGGGGUUAGCGGUAACGCGAAGCUCUUGAUCGAAGCCCCGGUAAACGGCGGCCGUAACUAUAACGGUCCUAAGGUAGCGAAAUUCCUUGUCGGGUAAGUUCCGACCUGCACGAAUGGCGUAAUGAUGGCCAGGCUGUCUCCACCCGAGACUCAGUGAAAUUGAACUCGCUGUGAAGAUGCAGUGUACCCGCGGCAAGACGGAAAGACCCCGUGAACCUUUACUAUAGCUUGACACUGAACAUUGAGCCUUGAUGUGUAGGAUAGGUGGGAGGCUUUGAAGUGUGGACGCCAGUCUGCAUGGAGCCGACCUUGAAAUACCACCCUUUAAUGUUUGAUGUUCUAACGUUGGCCCCUGAUCGGGGUUGCGGACAGUGUCUGGUGGGUAGUUUGACUGGGGCGGUCUCCUCCUAAAGAGUAACGGAGGAGCACGAAGGUUGGCUAAUCCUGGUCGGACAUCAGGAGGUUAGUGCAAUGGCAUAAGCCAGCUUGACUGCGAGCGUGACGGCGCGAGCAGGUGCGAAAGCAGGUCAUAGUGAUCCGGUGGUUCUGAAUGGAAGGGCCAUCGCUCAACGGAUAAAAGGUACUCCGGGGAUAACAGGCUGAUACCGCCCAAGAGUUCAUAUCGACGGCGGUGUUUGGCACCUCGAUGUCGGCUCAUCACAUCCUGGGGCUGAAGUAGGUCCCAAGGGUAUGGCUGUUCGCCAUUUAAAGUGGUACGCGAGCUGGGUUUAGAACGUCGUGAGACAGUUCGGUCCCUAUCUGCCGUGGGCGCUGGAGAACUGAGGGGGCUGCUCCUAGUACGAGAGGACCGGAGUGGACGCAUCACUGGUGUUCGGGUUGUCAUGCCAAUGGCACUGCCCGGUAGCUAAAUGCGGAAGAGAUAAGUGCUGAAAGCAUCUAAGCACGAAACUUGCCCCGAGAUGAGUUCUCCCUGACUCCUUGAGAGUCCUGAAGGAACGUUGAAGACGACGACGUUGAUAGGCCGGGUGUGUAAGCGCAGCGAUGCGUUGAGCUAACCGGUACUAAUGAACCGUGAGGCUUAACCUU
RNAcentral lists this ribosomal RNA (2894 nucleotides) under Escherichia coli. RNAcentral describes it as "23S ribosomal RNA". It matches the Rfam family "Bacterial large subunit ribosomal RNA". The record is from RNAcentral. Lineage: Bacteria; Pseudomonadati; Pseudomonadota; Gammaproteobacteria; Enterobacterales; Enterobacteriaceae.